Molecule: ribosomal RNA, 442 nt
Filed under: uncultured bacterium
Lineage: Bacteria
Description: partial 16S ribosomal RNA
Rfam family: Bacterial small subunit ribosomal RNA
Source: RNAcentral
CCUACGGGAGGCAGCAGUGGGGAAUAUUGGGCAAUGGGCGCAAGCCUGACCCAGCAACGCCGCGUGAAGGAAGAAGGCUUUCGGGUUGUAAACUUCUUUUUUCAGGGAAGAGUAGAAGACGGUACCUGACGAAUAAGCCACGGCUAACUACGUGCCAGCAGCCGCGGUAAUACGUAGGUGGCAAGCGUUGUCCGGAUUUACUGGGUGUAAAGGGCGUGUAGCCGGGUUGACAAGUCAGAUGUGAAAUCCUGCGGCUUAACCACAGAACUGCAUGUGAAACUGUUGAUCUUGAGUACUGGAGAGGCAGACGGAAUUCCUAGUGUAGCGGUGAAAUGCGUAGAUAUUAGGAGGAACACCAGUGGCGAAGGCGGUCUGCUGGACAGCAACUGACGGUGAGGCGCGAAAGCGUGGGGAGCAAACAGGAUUAGAUACCCUUGUAGUC